Molecule: long non-coding RNA, 41690 nt
Filed under: Vitis vinifera (wine grape)
Lineage: Eukaryota; Viridiplantae; Streptophyta; Magnoliopsida; Vitales; Vitaceae
Description: long non-coding RNA (VVIN_LNC004818)
Source: RNAcentral
UUUUUAAUUCUUCUAUUAGCUAUUCUCUCCCACUAGGGGUGGGAGAAAAAUUGACGACUCUCUGGACCCAUAUGAAGUUAUCAACAAUGACAGGUGAAGACACUCAAGGACCAUAUUUUCAAAAAGGUCUCCUUCUAAGAUUUGUAUUUUUCCUAAAGAUCUAGGAGAGAGAAAAAAAUUGUCUUUGAAAGACAUCUUACCUUAAAUCGUCCAAAAACUUUUUAUCAUAGGAGAGAGAAAAAAAUUGUCUAAUUGCUAUAAAAUAUUUAUUGAGAUGAUCAUAAAGUUUGUUAAUAGUACUAAAGUAUUUUUUUUUUUAAUAUUUACCAAAACCAUCCAUCAUAUUAUAUAUAUAUUUUUAGAUCUCAUUAUUUAUAUCCUAAUUUUUUUUAUUUAUGACUUUAUAUAUUCAUUUUAAUAAUUUGUGAAAAUUUUUGCACGAUAUAGAGAAGAAUAGUUAUAUUCAUCUUUUUAAAUACAAGAAGAUCGUCCAUUUUUAUGAUCUUUAUUUUAGGUCAAGGUGAAUUUGUGUACCUUCAAAUUUUGAGAUAAACCAUUCUCCUUGUGAUUCAUCCUCCUAAUGAUUCAAUUUUCCAUGCCAUCAUUUUAUAUUUUUUUAAAUAAUUUAAAUUUUAUCCUACAUAUUCAACUAUUAUAAAUAACAUAUCUUUAACAUUGGUAAGAUCGGAGCCCACAUCAUUUCGGAUAAGAAGAGGAUUUGUGGCUGGGAAAUAUCCAAUUGUUUGUUGCUGAGGACGUUUCUGCACAUAAUAAGACAAUGUGAACAACAUGCAUGUCAGAGAUAAAGUGAAUGUCUAAAAGACGUUCUUGUUUUCCAUAUUGAUUUUGAUUUGGUUUUUUCUUUUCUUACCUACCACAUUUUAAAUUAAUUUUUUCAGCAAUCAUAACAUUCAAGGGUUCCUACUUUUGUUCAAAAGAUAUGUGUCCUUGUUGUCAAUGUAUUGAUUAGUAUUUUGAAAUUUACUUGAUUAAUUGUGAGCUCAUACGUAACCAGUUCCGUAAAAUUUUAAAAAAAAGUUUUUAAAUUGAAUAAAUUUUAUUAAAGAAAUAUUAAUUUAAUAUUUAUAGGAAGUUAUUUUUUAUUUUAUGAUAUUUUUAUUAGUAGUACAUUUUCAAAAUCAUAAAUCUGACUUUGACUUCAAUUUGAAGCAAAAUCCAAAACAAAAUGAAAGACUACUUGUUGCAAGAGCUUAAUCAACACAUUAUCAUUUUUUUAGUAAACAAAUAUUACAUUUAGGUUAACAUAAUUAGAAUUACAACUGAAAAUCUUUCUUGUUUAAAAUAAAUUAAUUAAUCUCUUCAAAGUCUCAAAUGAACUACAAAAAAAAUUAAUUUUAUAAAAAAUAAUAUGGUAUAUUAUUAAAUUUUAUUAUUUAAUAAAUUGAAAUGUACAUGACUAUACCCCAUUAUUUUGAAUUCAUGAUUUAUUAAGAAUCGAAAAUUUUUGGAUUUUUUUAUGCUAUAUUUAAAAAGUGUAUAUCAUAAUGGGCAAUAUCGGUAAAAUAUUUUUUAUUUUUUCAAUAUUUUUUUAUAUGAAUAAUUCUAAAUUAUGAAAAAAUUCAUCAAUAGUAUAAUUAAACGUGGAAGACAACCGUCAAUCGGAACUUUGGGAGUAAUUUUAGAAAGGGCAUGGAACAUCUCCAAGAUUAGACCGUUAGGAAGAGAAUUUGAAGUUGCUAACUGCCCGUUUGCGUGGAAGGAAAAAUGGAAAUUAUUAUACUUUGGACUAGUGGUGUUCGAAUUUGUUUGCUUUGGAUUUUUUAUUUUUUAUUUUUUGUCUUAAACAAAUCUUGUGGAAAAAGGAAAUUUAUCAUUUCAUUAUUUGGGGUUUUAAGCACUGCCGGAGAAAAUAUGUAAGAGAAUUAGAUGGUCAAAAAGUAAUAGGAAGGAGAAAAAAAAAAUAUUGACUUAGUAAAAAUGCAUGGACCUUGGGAAGGGUUAAUUUUGAUGACAUCUUUAAGAUUUUAUGAAAAUACAUUUGUUCAUUAUUAAUUUCAAAUUUUCUCGAUUAAUACUUUUAUCAUUGUGUUUAUUUUUUAAAUUUUAAUUUUUUUUUAUAGAGAUUUGAAGUGAAAAGAUUUUAGGUAAUAAUAAUUCUCAAAUGUUAGAAAGGUUUAAGGUUGAAAAGAUAGACUUUUAGCCUUAUUUGAUCCAACCAAUCUAUGGGACUUGAAUCAAUUCAAUAGAUUGGGAACUAGUUGAAUCGAUUGCCCUUUCCUAGUCAAGGUCCGACCCAAGGUGCAAAAAUUUUUGUUUGAACUUGCAUUCCCAAUCUAGGUUAACCUUUAUCAAUCGAACUUCGAAAAUGACAAACAAUUACCUUUUAAGUAUUUAUUGAGAUGAGAACACUUGCAUUGAAUUCCUUAUCUAACAUUUUUCUCUCGUUCAAAGUAUUCAACUCUUUGUACGUCUAUUUAUUCAUCUUAACUUCUUUUAUAUUUAAGUAUUUAUUGUGCUAGGUUGAGUGUUGUUAAACCUUUAUUAAUUUGAGUAAGGUUGAAUGUCGAAGCUUUAAAUUAAAGAUUCAAUUUGAACAUACUUGUAUGUAUCCAUUGGAAUCAUUGACUUUAAGUGUAAGAUUUGAAAACUUGGAUUAGAAGACUUAAAAAUUUAGAUUGAAAGCCUUGAACUAGUAGUCCCUCACUUGAAAGGAGUUUGAGGGUAAACAUAGGUGAGUAUUGUAGAACUACUAUAAAAAUCGUCUUUAGGAUGUUAGUUUUUAAAUUUUAAAAACAUGUUUGUUAAUUAAUUUUUAACUAAAACCAAUUUUUUAAUCUUCUUAGGAUUAUGUAAUAACUAUGUAAACCUUAAUGGAUAUGUCUUUAUAUUUUAGUUUUCAAAUUUUAAAAAUAUGUUUUGAUAUUAAUGGAUAUGUGAAAACGGUUUUUGAGUAGUUGAAAUAUCAUAUAAAUUUUAAUUAGGGAUGUUGACUUAUUGGCAUGUGAGUUGUAUCGACUAUUUUAUUGGGUCAGUAUUUGUGCAUCCAUUAUUGUAUGUCUAUUUUCUUGUUUGUUGAAAAGAUUGAAAAAAAUAAAAGAAGAAGUGAAAACUCAAACGAUUAAUUCACAUGAUGAACCUUCUUGAGUUUGAUUUAAAAAUAUCUAUUUAUCAUUUUCUAAUUGUUAUCCAUAGUUGAAAUGCAAUGCAUUUACAAUAUUAGUAAUACUGUUAGUCUAAACAUUUAAUGAAAUUUAAUUUAAUUUAGAUUCAAUUCAAAUUUAGGGCUAUUUAGAUUUUAAAUGAAAAAAACAAACACUAAUUUAACUCUUUCCCUUUUUUUUUCUUAAAUUAAAAUAAACUUUAGAUUUCACAAAAAUUCUCUAACGAUUACAUGUAUUUAUUAUCCACUUUACCCCAUGAUAAUGCAUGAACUCAUUAUCGAUUAAGUAUAUUUCAAGUAACUAGAAACCAUGGGCAAGAUAGUAAUUUUCAUUAUUUAGACCUGAAUUGUUAAUUAAAUUGAAAUAUACUCCCUAUUAGAGAUAAAAAUAUAAGAUAUAGAAGUUAAGAUUACCUUUAAAUACACUUUAUAUUUUGUGUUUUUAAAAUUUAAAAAUAAUAAUAAAUUUUAUAUAAUAUAUAAGAAUUUAUAGAUUUUAUAUUUUUUUAAAUGAAAAUUAUUUCAAAAAAAUAAGAUCUUAAAAAAAUUAUUAUCUCAAAUUUAAAAAAAUUUUAAAGUGAUUUUAGAAAACAUAAGAUAAAUCCUUUUUUAUAUAUAUAAAAUAUUUUAUUUUUAUACAAAGAUUUUUAAUUUUAAAAAAUAAAAAAUAGUAAAUAUUUCCCGACGAUUAUGCUGAUUGAGUCGCAUAUGAUUGGUCUGUGUCUUAUAAUUAUUUUGGUAUUAGGAGCCGUGCAUAAACAUCCUUCAGGGCUACAAGCCGGCGGAUAUUUUUCCCAGUCGCAAAUCCUCUUCUUAUCCAAAAUGAUGUGACCGAUCACAUUGAUAGUGGCAGGAUGCGCUCUAGGAUGCCUGGCCACCAAUAAUUUAAGAUAUAUUUAAAUAAAUAAAAAAUUUAACCACGAUAUUUCUUUAAAAAUUUUAAAAUCUAAGGUAUAAUUUUAUAUGAAAUUUUAAUAAAUAAUAAAACAUUAUUAAUACAUAUAUUAACAGUUUGUUAUGAAUGUAAAAUUUUUGAAAUUUUUUUAUGCUAUAUAUUUAAAAUCGUAUAUGGCAUUUUGUUAGGGUGUAAUAACAUAGCUAUUGCCUAUAUUUGGUUUCAAAAAAUAUUUUUAAAAAUAAUUUUAUUAUAUUUGAUUUAUCAUAAAAAAUAUAAAAGAAAUAUAAAUAUAAUUAAAAUUAAUAAAAAUUUAUAUAUGUUUAAGUUAUUUAAAUUUUUUUAUAAAAUAAUUAAAUAAGAAAAAUAAGUUUGAAGUAAGAAAUAAAAAUAAUUUGUUAACUUUAAAUUAUUAUUAUUAUUUUAUAUAUAUUUUUUGUUUUUGUUUCAUUUCAUUGGAGGUUGGGAAUAGAUAUAUAUCCCGGAAUGGGUGACGCAAAUAAUUAGAAUAAAUUUGUAAAAAAAAUAUAGAACAUCUCCAAGAUGAUAGAGUUAGGAAUAGGAUUGAAGUGGACAGCACAUUUGAGUGGACAAGAAAAAUGGAAAUAAUUGUAUUUUGUACUAGACGUGUUGGAAUGUGUUUCCUUUUGGUAUUUCCUCUAAAGCAAAUAUAGUGAAAAGGAAAAAUAAAAUAUUAAUUGGAUAAAAUUAAACUUAUUUUUAUCUUGCCUGCAUAUUAUUUAUUUUAAUAUUUCUAUUCUAUUUAAAAAACCUAAGAUAAAAAACCCUCAUUAAAAAAAAAAAAAAAAAACUAAGAUAAAAAACCCUCAUUAAAAAAAAUAAAAAAAUUAAGGGAAUUUUAAAAUGUUAGAAAUAUUAGGCUAAUCCAACCUAUAAUAAUCAUCUUAGAGGGGGAGAGGGAGAUACCCUACACUUGAGAAACUUCCUCUCAAACAAAUGAAUGAUCUUACAAAAAUCCUAACACAAGAACUUUAGGAUCAAAUGAUACAAAAAAAACUAGGAUUGAAUGGUGCACUAAAGAUAUGCAAGUUUUGAAAUAAUGGUGCACUAAAAAAUACACUUCCAAUGCUCAAAUAUAAUUAAGAAAGAUUUGGGAAGGUUAAGCUUCUUAAACAAUGAAGAUUGGAGCCUUUUUAUAGAAGAGAAAAACCAAACUAGCCGUUUGGGGGUUUGAUCGGUCGAGCUAGGGGUUGACCGGUUGACUAGCCGUUAGCAUUAAAUGCUUGGCAGGUGACCGUUGGGCCUCAGUCGAACCUCGACCGAUCCUCGAUCGGGAAGAGAAGACCACUAGGAGAGAGAGAAACUUUUUGGUCUCUUUCAACCGGUCCUCGAUCGAACUAGCACAACCGGUUGACCGGUUGAGCCAUUUUUUGGCUCAACAUCCAACCUUUUUCAACUUAAAACCUUUUAAAACAAGUUUGAGAAAUAUUUAACAUAAGGUUUUAGUUGAAAACAUGAAAUUAUUCAAUUCUUAAGAUAUUUAAAACAAUAUUACUCUUGAAUGAUUUUGAUGCAUGAAUAAAAAAUGAAAUGUAUGAAAGUUCUAGUGCACCAACAACCUUACAAAGAGAUCUUAUGAAACUUAGGUCUUGAAAAACACUUCUCUUUGAGGCGAUCUUCUUCUUUAUGAUUUCUCCUUGACUUGAUUUGUCUUUGUGAUUGCCACUUUGGAAAUCGUCUUGCCUAAUCACACUUGAAAUAUAAUCAUUAGUUCUAAACCUUGUUUUGUUAUAAUCAAGAUUAACCAAACCUUGGUUUCACAUAAAAUAUAUGAUAAUUUUUAAUAAAAAAUAAAUUUUGAAAAUUUGUUCUGAGAAUAAGUUCUUUAAGAACUUUUCUUAUUUUUAAAAAAUUAUUCCUAAAAACCUUUUUAUUUUUUAGAAACAUUUUUGAACACUUGAUCCCUUAUUUAUUUUUAAUCAAAAUGUUUUAAAAAGAAUAUUUUUGAACACUUGAUCCCUUAUUUAUUUUCAAUCAAAAUGUUUUAAAAAGAAAAAUUAUUUAAACAUUUAUGAGCAGGAAAAUGCUAAUCUCUAGGUUGUUAAAUGCUAAUCUCCAGCUUGUUAAACGGAGCAAGAUUUGACAUAAAAUGAGGAAUAAUUAUUGGACAAAAUUAUUGUUGUUAUAAAAUAUGAGAUUUUAUCGAAACUUGUGGAUGAUCUUGAUGUAUAUAUGACUCCUAUAAAAGAGAGAUACCUCUAAUGAAAUUCUAUUUUCUUCGUACAUUCUAAUUUUUCUUUUUUCUUCUUAUUUCACUUUGUAAUUUUUGUUUUUCCUUUUUAUUACUCAUACGUGCAAUCAUGUGAUUAUAAUCAUAUAUUUCUACUUUUGAAUUAUAUGGAAAUAAUUUAAAUUUUUACAAAAUAGAUUUUGAAUUAUACUUAUCAAAAUUAAAAUAUAUUUUAUUUUUUUAAUGAAUAUGAAUUAUAGUUCUGACUACUUGAAAGAAUUUUAUAGAAAAAAUAUAUUUUUUUAAAAUUAUUUAUUUUUGGAUUUUAAAAUUUAACCAUGAUAUGUUUAAAAUAGAAAAAAAAAAGCUAAAAGAAAAACUAAAUUUUAUUUUUGAGAUAAAAAAUGAAACUGAAUAACAUAUCAUAGAUAGAAGCUGAUUUGGUCUACUAAAAAAGUAGAUAAUGCUUCGGUUUUAUAAAACUUAAACUUAUUACUUAAUAAUUUAAAUUUAUUUUUAAAUUAAAUUAUACUUAAAUUAUUAAUUUAAAAUUUAUUACUUAAUUUUUACUUUUAAUUAGGCAAAGCAGGUUGAGUAAUAGUGGAGGUGGGGAAAAAGCAAAUGAGAUUGUGGAGGUAAGUAGGUAAUUAGGGCAAAUGAGAGUAAAAAAUUAAAUUAAAGAUGUAGAUUUAAGAAUAAGUUAAUUGAUUUUAUCUAUUACUUAAAAUUAUUUAUUUAUUUAUUUUAUUUGAUGAAAGAAACUACAAUGUAGAAUGCCUAUAAAUUUGAUUGAAAGAUGAACCACAAUCAAAACUAGCUUUAUAACAUCUUUAAAAAAAUUUGAUUAGCAAAUAAUUGAUUCUAAAUUACAAAUACCUUUCAUAACUAAACAAUCUGCUAUUAUAUUUGUUUCCCUAUAAAUAUAAUGACAAUCAUAAAUAUUUAAAUCUCUAACAUGUCAUUUCUUAAAGUCAUACAUUCCAUAAUAAUUAUUAAAACAUUACUUUUAUGACUACUUGUAAGUUGUAACUAUUUUUAUAGUACCAUUAGAGUCUCUAAUAACCCAUUUUAAAGUAUUUUUAUUCUUUAUUUUUGAGCUAUCAAAAUUUAAUUUGAAUCUUUCAUUAAUUGAAUAUAUCCAAUGAAUUCAUUUUUCAGGGAUAUUGCGUUAUUUGAUUAGAAGAUAUGAGUCGAUCUUAUAAUCCUGAAGAUUUUGGAAGUUUUAAGGUAGCUUUGUCAAUUAUGAGAAAGGGGUUGAGUUGGAUUUUCCUAAAAAAUACUUGAUUUUUAUGAAUCUAUAUAUUCACAAGAUAAUGAAAUUUUUUUUCAUAGGAUGCUUGAAAAUUUUGUAAUUAAUUUUAUAAUUUUUAUACAUCGGCUUCGAGGUAAGAUAGGAAGUCACAUUUAUAAAAGGGAAGUGUAUAACAAUUAUACUUCAAUGCAAAGAUGACAUAUGUUGAAAUUUUCAGCCUCCUAGCAACAGAAACUUACAAAUAAGGAGGACAUCUCAAUAUUUUUGGUAAAAGAUUUAGUUUCAAAAUAAUUUCAAAGUUAAAAGUUAUUUUUAAAAUAUAUUUAAUUUUUUUUAAUAAUUUAAAUUAAAUUAUUAAGUCAAUUAAGUUAUUAAUUCAGUUAAGAUACCACUUCUUUACCACCAUUGAAUUCGUAAAAGUAGUCUUUAGUGUUUGAACACGUAAUGAGUGGAGGGGACUUCACUGUGGAAAAGUCAAUUUAUCAACAUUGGCAUUUCGGUAGCUAGAGGGAAACACCAUGGGAGUUUUCAUCUUCUCCAGCUUCGUAUAGGAUAUAGGCGACGAUGCUCCUCCACAUUCACCACCAACUCAGCACUGUCAUCACUCCUCUCGCAGCCUUUCGCCCCACCUCUUCUUUUUUAUAAGUGAUAAAAAAGCUUCUAUAAAAAUAUCCAAUUCUUUGGGUCUUUGAGCUUCUCAGAUCUCUAAGCCCACUUGAGAAAGUUUAGCAAACAGGGGAACAGCUUGUUUUGAUGAGAUGAUUCGACUACCAGAGAGGUUUAGAGCGUUUUUUAACAACAGAUGGCUGGUGUUUGUGGCCGCAAUGUGGAUACAGUCGUGUGCCGGAAUUGGGUACUUGUUUGGGAGUUUAUCGCCGGUGAUUAAGAGCUCACUCAACUAUAAUCAGAGGCAGAUUGCAAGGUUGGGUGUGGCUAAGGAUAUCGGAGACAGUGUUGGGUUUUGGAUUGGGAGCUUGUGUGAGAUUUUGCCUCUGUGGGUUGCUCUGCUCAUUGGUGCUUUGCAGAAUUUAAUUGGGUAUGGGUGGGUUUGGUUGAUUAUCACUCAUCGAGUUCCAACUCUGCCCUUGUGGGCUGUGAGUAUCGCUUAUCAAAUACUUUUCCCUUUCCUCUCCCCUUUCCAUUUCACGUGAACCAUCGCCUAAAGUAGCUGUGCUUUUUUGUUUCUUCUUUCUUUUGGUUUUUGUUUGAUGUCAGUUUUUUUAUUUUGUCUGGUUUUCUUUUAGUUACUCAUAAUGAUCUGGGUCUUUUUGUUAUACUUUGGAAGAUGUACUGGGUAUCUCAAACCAAGUGAAAAUGAUCACAUAAACUGGAGACCUUGUUUUCUUUCUUCCUUUAUAGAUUUCCGGAGCAUAGUUCAAUCUUUUUUUUUUGUUUGUUUGAUUAGAGCAGUCCUCAAUUUAAUUUGUAAAUCGGAUAAUCUCUUGCAAGAAUAAUUUUUAUUCUCAACCUUUCGGCAUAGUUUCUGGAUUUUAACGUCCGGAGUCCUGCGACUGAUGGUGGGCUGUUUUAUUGUAUUGUCCUUGAUUGAGCAAAGGAGUUAAUUUUAUUAUUUUUUAUAUUCAAUCUUUUUUGGAUUAGACGAUUCUUUGGUUGUAUUUGUGAAAUUUGAUUAACGGUCCAAAUUAGAGUAGGGGGUUUCUAUUUUAUUUUAUUUCUCUGAUUUUGCUUUCUAUCAUAGUUAGUCCUUUCCAUUUGAGUCGAGAUUUGCAUUUCUGCUGGUGAAACAGCAUCAUCCUUCUGUGCAUGAAAUAAGAAAUUAUAUUGAAGAUGGUUAAUAAAUAGGUUUGGCAGAUGUUUAUGCUUUAGAUAUCCAACAGUCUAAGGGCGAAGGUGAUUCUGACUGAUUUCAGAUGUCGGAAUUAGUUGUUCUACUGGGCUCCAAUACUCCCUUGGGGUUUGUCAUAAAUCAAUAGAUCUUCAAAACUUUCAACAAUGUGGUUGAAAAGUUUGGCUUUGCAAAUACAUGAAUCACAUUUUACCUUUGAAACGGUUCUAUCCUCGUUUUUUCUCAUUACAGUUCUGGAGUCAGAUAUUUGUUCCUUUUGUUUUGUAUUUCCUAAUACACUAGACUAACUCCUAAUGCAAUUUAUUAUGCAGUUCCAACUUGUCUUCCUAUGGGCAUUAAUAAUUGGCUGAGCUGUAGUUAUCAUCUGAGUCAUGCACCAAAAAGCUUCUGAAACUUUGUAUUCUAGACAAUUUUAGAUUUAAGCUGGUCAGAUGGAUCCUUAAAAGUAAUAUGCUAAAUUUGACAACUUGUAGAGGGUUGAUUAUUACAUGUGUAGCUCACCCACAAAAAUGCAAUCCAAAAAAGAAAAAAAAUCUGAUCCUUGUGUCUAGAUGUCUGUUUCUAUUAUUGCAUAGACGACAUAUAUAUGUUAUAAUGAUGGAGUCUGCAAUGCAGUUGGAUGAUGAACAUCUAUUACAAUAUUGAAAUUUGAGACAAUUAUAUAGAAGUUUGAUUUUUAGAGUCAUGUGCUCUAAUCAGAGAUAACUUAGGAUACUUUUUAAUCUUGCAUCCCUUCUUGCUGUGGUUAAAUUGUUAAUGGAUAUCAGUAUGCAGAUAUGCAUUCUUAUAUUUGUGGGAACAAAUGGUGAGACCUACUUCAAUACGGUGGAUCUGGUUUCCUGUGUGCAAAAUUUCCCAAAGAGCCGGGGGCCCGUGGUUGGAAUAUUAAAAGGCUUUUCUGGGUUGAGUGGCGCCAUUCUGACGCAGAUAUAUACCAUGAUCCAUUCCCCUGAUCACGCAUCCCUCGUAUUCAUGGUUGCAGUGGGUCCAACAAUGGUAGUUUUUGCUCUAAUGUUCAUUGUUAGACCUGUUGGAGGUCACAGACAAGUCCGGCCAACUGAUGACUUAAGUUUCACAUUCAUCUAUGGUGUCUGCCUCGUUUUGGCUGCUUAUUUGAUGGGGGUCAUGCUUCUUCAAGACCUAGUUGACUUAAGCCACACAGUGGUCACAAUUUUUACAGCAAUUUUGUUUGUCCUCGUUUUGGUACCAAUUGUGAUUCCUGUGUCAUUGAGUUUUCCCUCAGAGCCAAAAGCUCCUGAACUAGAGGCUCUUCUAACAGAGCCACAGAAAGAAGAACCUGGCAAGUCCGAACAGGAUGCAACUGAGGUUAUAUUUAGUGAGUUGGAAGAUGAGAAGCCUAAGGAAGUAGACUUGCUUCCAGCAUCAGAAAGGCAAAAACGAAUUGCCCAUUUGCAAGCAAAACUGUUCCAAGCAGCUGCAGAAGGAGCUGUGAGGGUCAAGAGGAGGAGGGGGCCACGUAGAGGGGAGGACUUUACCCUGAUGCAGGCUUUGAUUAAGGCGGACUUUUGGCUUAUCUUUUUCUCACUUCUAUUGGGUUCUGGAUCUGGUUUGACAGUGAUUGAUAAUUUGGGACAGAUGAGCCAGUCUUUAGGAUAUGAUAAUACACAUAUAUUUGUAUCCAUGAUCAGCAUUUGGAAUUUUCUUGGUCGAAUUGGUGGAGGUUACUUCUCUGAGAUGAUAGUCAGGUAUAAACUUGCUUCAUUUCCAUUGGGUUUCCAGAUUUGGUUUUGAUUUUGGUUUGUGCUCAUUUUUCUUAUCCGAUCUUGUGAUAUUUGUUGAGUAGGGACUAUGCUUACCCACGGCCAGUGGCCAUGGCAGUGGCCCAAGUUACAAUGGCACUUGGACACUUAUUCUUUGCUAUGGGAUGGCCCGGGUCACUGUACAUUGGUACUCUAUUGAUUGGGCUUGGUUAUGGAGCCCACUGGGCAAUUGUGCCAGCUGCUGCCUCUGAGUUGUUUGGCUUGAAGAACUUUGGGGCUUUAUACAAUUUUAUCAAUCUUGCAAAUCCUACAGGUUCACUAGUGUUUUCUGGUGUCAUUGCUAGCAGUAUCUAUGAUCGUGAAGCGGAGAAACAAGCUCAUCACCACCAUCACCAGCAGCAGAACAUGGGAUCAAUUUUCUCUGGCAUGCUUAGUGUGGAUGACCCUCCAAAAUGUGAAGGUUCCAUAUGCUUCUUUCUCACUUCUAUGAUAAUGUCUGGUAUCUGCAUUAUAGCAGUUGUUUUAAGCAUGGUACUCGUACAUCGGACAAAGGUCGUCUAUGCCAACCUCUAUGGAAAAUCACGUACUUGACUCAUGGCAAGAGUAGCAAAAGGGGCAUUGUGAGUAUAGUGUUUGUCCAAUUUAUGUUGAUGUUCUGUAUACUUCAUCCGAGCUCAUGGAGAAGUUGCUCAUUUUUAACCCAUGUUUCUGAAAGUAUUUAUUGAGGGAGAGAUGGUAAAGCUUAGCAAUUCUCCAGAACACACGACUCCAGAGGGGGAAGCAGAUGGAAUUUAGACACUGCUAUUUUCAGGUGUUCCACAACGUUUGCUAUAAUGUAUUGGAGUCACGCAUGGUUCUAUUUUGUAUGUUAAGGUUGUGUAUUUCUUUUCAUUCUAGUUUGGACAUUUAUUUGGUGUGGAAGUAUCAAAUUUGUUCCCUAAAAGUUCUUUCCUACGGCUGUUGUUGGGACUUUUUGAGGAGGAUGUGCUUACUAUUUUUUCAUUCAUUAUUUAACACUGAAUUUCUUUAUUUGCUUACAUUUUGAGAAAAGUUACAGAAUUUUAGUUGUAAAGCAAGCAUCAUCUGGCAGGCUAUAUGACCAUCAUGAUUAUCUAGUCUAUGAAAAGAAUUGCAAAACUUUAAUGUCGUAGGUCUUGUUAUGAAGACUGAACAUUUCAAGGAUGAAAGAGAGUCCGCUUACACAGGCGAUCAGAAAACAGAGUACAUGCAGGGGAUAUCAGGAAACUGGAAAAUGAGGAAUUCGUUACAGAACUUGUUGCUGAGACAUUGCCUUCAUGAUUGAAGGCUGUGCAAUCCGUCCUAAUUUCUCCUUGGUCACCAGUUUUGAUGCCAACACUCCCAAGCUUCCUCAUUGCUGUGAUGGCCAACUCUCCCAAGCUUCCUCAUUGCUGUGAUGGAAGCUCCAUUGUAUUAAAAUAUUGUGUGAAUCACCGAAUACCUUGGCCUUGAGUUUUGUAUAUUAUAUAUAGAUUUUACAAGGAUGCUAUACAUGGAAAGCAAAUAAAUUCCCGCAUGAUUCUAGCUCUAUAUAUGUAAACUAUAAUUUGUCAAAUAAUGUAUGUUAACUGUACAGAAUAAUAAAUGAAGAAAUAAGGAAAAGUAUGGACAACAAAGCUGUCAUUUGACACAUUGAACUCACCUGGGCUGUUGGCAAAAUCAGUGACCGUAGGCUGAGAUGUAGGGUCAGUGAAGAGCACCUCAUAUUAAGCUGGCUAAGUGUGUCUCGCAAACAUGAAGUUGAGUUGGUCAAAGAUCAAAGGAGGGUUCGAGUAGGUUUCCAGCAACCCGAGAUACUUGAUAGAUGAGACCAUCACGACAACCCAAUUCUACACUGAAUCAAGGGCCUCCAACCUGACAGUUUUCAGAAUGAGUUUUUGGUUAAAAAAAGCGAGAUACAAUUUCAGUUACUGCUAAUGAGGUCCUGCGUCCUUACCAGGGCUACAACAUCUCUGGCAGCUAGAGCCAGAAUAUCUGCACAAGAGACUUGUGGGCACUAAAGCUAGUGGCCAGCCGUAUAGUCUCACCCGAGCGAUCCAUCCGAGCGGUAUGGUACCUGGCCGAGAUUUAUAACCCAAAAGACAGACGCUCGGGCAGCUGGACACAAUAAAUGGAACGGUUAUGCAUUUUGCGCAAGACAGGCAACUGUUACAUGUCAUAAAUAAUUGAUCAUUAUCAGUGGUCAAUGAUUGAGCGUUACACAUUAAAGCUGCAAUUAAGGACAAUUAUAAGGGCAAAAAGCAACGUUAAAGAUCACCCUCUAUAGACACCACCCGACACCAGGGGAAAGGUACCCAAAAUGAUUCCUACAAAAUCCUUGCCAAAACAUUGGGGUUUUGCUUGGACAGGAUUCGAGCACACCUUUUUUUGCUGGUCAAGAGAAGUGCAAAUUGAUUUCAAGGGAUAUAAUAUUUCUCUAGGUGUGGAUGUGUGUUCUUGAAAAUAAUUUUUGGUUCAUGGAUAGAAAUAGACUUAUUGGUGGAAAUUAAUUAAUAUUUUCAUUAUUUAUGGAGUCAUGAGUGAGUUUGAGCUUUCUUGACAAAUUGUUAAUAAUAAUUUUUUUUUUUUAAUCUAUGCAUAUGAUAAAUAGGUAAGGUUUCUCACUCUUAUUGGUUUUUUUUAUCAAUAUGAAUAAUUUUUAGCUCAAUGAUUAGAAGAUAAGUGUGUGAUUCUCAUGUUUCUCAUCAUUGUUGGAUCAUUGUGUGUUCAUUGGAAAUCAUUUUGGUGUUUUUCAUGUGGUCUUCUAUCAAAAUCAUUUUUGUGUUGGGUAUAGAUUGAUCUGCUCUGGGGUUGGAUCUAUCCAUUGUGCUGACAAUCAUUUGGCCGAGAGUCUAUGUACAAUUUGCGGAUCAAUCCAACAAGAUCAAUGUUAUGUAGUUCCAACACUUUUAGCAGUCUCUUAUAUUCAGGUUUCAGUCUUUUGGUUGAGAGCAUAUGACCGGAAUUUGGAUUGAACCACCAAGAUCAAUGUUACUCACUCCACGUUUCUCACCCUUAUGUCACAGGAUGCUUCAAAUGACCCUCCCCAUGGGCUUAUAUAGGAGGAGGGAAGCUUCUGGAGACUCUUGGAGCCAUCUACACUAAGCCAUUGGUGGGAAGAGUGUGGAAGGUUCUAGAAAUGCCUAGAGAUGUCCACACAUCUCUACACUAUGGUGGAAGACAUGAGAGGAGUCCAAGGCUUUCUAGAAGAUUCUAAAGAUCUCUUGCAUAUUCUUGUACAUAGGGUUGUACAUAGAUUAGUGUAGGGAGUUCUAGAAUAUUCUUGAUUUGUAAGGAACCCUCCAAGGUUCUAGAGAGUUCCCUUGGUGCCUAUAAAUAGGUGAGGGCCUCAUUUGGCCAAGGCACCACCCAAAUCACUUCCUAACCAAGCAAGUGAGCAUCCAAGCACUUGUAAAGGCUUCGUUGAGUAAUAAAGAGCUUCCAUUCUUUAAGGAGUUGCCUACCAAGCUUCUUAAGCUUUCGAGUCGCGAUAGCCGAGCAAGCUAAGCAUUGGGGAGCAAGGCUGACUUAGCAAGAUCAAGCGUCUUGGCUUGUCUAAGUGCCGCACGAGCUUAGUGAACGACUAAGCCUGUGACACUUAGCCGUUUUUGGGUAAUAUGUCUUUUUGAAGCUUGUGCUACUAUAUUAAGUGAGUGUUUGAGGGGUAAAAUUGCCAUUUUCAAUCUAAAAAAUCUUUUUUGAAAAAGCCAAAAUCCUGAAAUCUAAAAGCCCUAUUUUUUUUCCAAUUAAGCCCUAAUUUCAAAUCUCUCAAAGGGGUCUUUAUUUCUUCCCCUUCACUGCAAGAGCUUCCAUUGCCAAGACCAUGGGAAUUCAUUUCUAAUGAAGUCCUCCAUUAGCAUCAUUCUUAUCAGCAUAAAAAAUCUCUGAAUCAAUGCUCCAUUUGAUGUCAUUUUUUUCUUUUUUUUUUGUGGCUCAUCCGUGGGUUUCUUAGCUUAAGCCAUCUUCUCCAGCAAGUUGCUAUAUCUGGCAACUAUUUCUUGAACUGUCACUCUGACAAGGUUUUCUUUCCAACAACCCUUAGCAUUUAGUCCAUCCAUUUUUCUCUCCACUAUUAGCCUUAUUUGGAUGUUUUCUGUUUGUGGAGCCUUCUCAUUGUAGAUUUCCUAUUUGAGGUUUCAUUUUUACCUUAGAUUGUUCUUGAUUUCUAACAAUGUCAGUCCUAGGCUUUGUUUGUUCAUUGUGAGUGCUUUCUAUACAUUUGCAUGCUUGGAAUGUAUUUUUAUGGUGGUAGAGCAUUUUCUAAAAGUUUUGAAUUGAGACCCUAUGAUGGGAUUAGGGGGAGUUUCUUGUAUCUUGUGAUAGGAGUUAAGAGGAGACUCUUAUAUCCCAUUAAAUUUUUUUGGGAUGUUGAUAUGGAUGCUUAGUAAUAUGUGGAUACUUUAUUUUUGGGCAUUUAAUAUCUUGUUGACAUGUGGAUGCUUGUUGAUUUGAAUAUUUGAUAUUCUAUUAUUAAAUGGUCAUCCCUUUGUUUUUUUUUUCUUGGACAAAAAGAGGUUGAUUGUGGUUUUUGUCUCCUUCUAGGAUAAAUAAGGGAGAUGCAUUAUAUUUAAGAUUUUAGAUAUUGGACGGUGUUGAUGAUUAUUGCCAUUUUGUAUAUAUAUGUUGAUAUUGGAUAUUGGAUGGAUAUCGGAUGUUAUUGAUGAUUAUUGUUAUAUUUUUUUAAGAUACAUGUUGAUAUGUGAACUUAUCUAGUUUGGAUUUGGAUAUACAUGUGAUAAUUCUUUUGGAUAUUUUUUUUUAUAUACUUGGAUAUAUUGUAUCUAUUCAAUUGUUUCAUAUAGGUGCUACUAAUUGUUUUUGGAAGUUUAUUUGCAAGUUUUGUAGUAAUUAGGUUGUGAGAUUGAGUGGGUAAGUGAAUGGCCUUGUAUGAGAAUGGGUGAGGCUUGCUUGCUUAUUCUAUUGUGUUGUAAAGGGUUUUGUCUCAGAAUUGUCAAAGAGGGAGAUUGUGAGUGUUUAGCUAAGUUGACAAUAUUGGACAAAAUUCUUAAGUAUCUCCUAAUUCAGUUUUUUCAAAUCCUUCUUUGAACUACUUGCCUAAUGAAGAUUAAAUUGUUGAAUUUGCUAAGAGACUCAAGUAUAUAGUUGAGGUUGGAGUUUGAUGAAAUUGAAUCAAUCAUAUUUUUUUAAAUGUUGUUUUUCUUGAAUGUAAUUUUUAAGGAGUUAGGGAGGUCUAGGAAGCAUAUAAUAUAUAUAUAUAUAUAUAUAUAUAUAUAUAUAUAUUUACUAAGUAUUCAAAAUGUCUUAUUCCAAAAUUGAUCCAAUUUCAAGUUAGAUCGAUCUAGGUUGCAAUUUCUUGAUCUUAUUUCAUUCGUUGGAUUAAGGGUUUCUUUAAACUUAAAAUACAACAAUUGCUUCCUGAAAUGCGAGAAAUAAUCGUUCUCCCCUUGUGCUUUUUUUUUUCUUACAAAAAUUUAGGGUAUUUGGUUGUCAAGAAAAUCUCAUUUUCUACUUGAUUUUCAAAUUGUUUUCAACAGAUUUUCUUGAGAAAAAAUGAGUUAAUUCUUUUGUUCAUUCAUCUCUCAAUUUUUAAUCUAUUUGGAUUUGGGUGAAAACCCAUUUUCUUCUUAUGUGGAUUAAAAAAGAUGUCGAGAUCGAACUUGGUGAAGAUUCCAAGUGUGCUCCAUAAGAAGAAGGUAUGAAAUUGAAAGUGGAAAUGUGCUAGUCAAGUGAUUCGGGAAGGAUUGGUAGGUUUGAGAUAGGUAAAACCUUGCAUUCAUUUUUUAUUCUUCAUAGUGAACAUUUUCGAUCAAUUGUAGGUUCGUGAUUUUUUAUUUCUUCGAAGAUUUUUCACGUUAAAUUUUGGUGUCAUUGUCUUUUUCUCUAAUUCUACUUCUUGAUUUUAGUUUUCAUUUAUUACUUGGGCAUAAAAGUUUAAUGAAAUGAGUUGAGAUAGGUGUGAUCUUCUUUAAAUAUCUUGAAUAUUUUUUUCUUGUUAUUUUGCUAUGGACACUCAAUAGAAGUAGAAAAUUGUACUAAUGAGAAAUUGUUCUUAUGAACUGUGUUGGGAAGUGUUGUAGUAUUUACAUGUGACUUGCAUUUGAAAAUUAUUGGGAGAGUGUUGUUGUAUAUGUUGGAAAGUAUUCGACGAGAAGAACAAAUUGUGAAAAAUUUAAGGUUAAGUAAUAUAUGUUGGGGAAUGUUUUAAAUUUGUUUAAAAAAACACCUAUUCAAACCCCAUUUAAGUAUAGUAUAUCAUUGAGAUUCAUCUUCAUUUUUUAUAUCUUUAUGGAAAUUAUAUAGUAUUCACAAGCUCAUCUCUAUCUUCUAACAUUUUCUCGUCAUGACCUAAAAUAUUUAUAAAAAUAUUCUUAAAUAAUUUUCUUUAUUCUAUAAUAAAUUAUUAUAUUACAAUAAUACAUAAACUUAAACAAUAUUAUUUACGGGAUUUAUACUAAUUAGAAAUUUAUUAUACCAUCCAAAAGUUAUCAUUGAAAUCGAAAGAUAUUAAUUUAGAUUAUGAAACUUGGACUAAUAGAAAUCUUAAUUAAGAAACAAAUGGGCAAUUAUUAGUUUUUAAUUAAAUGUUAUAAUAAAAUAACAUUUGACAAAAAAGCUUAAAUUUUAUCUAUAAAUUAAAAUGAAAAUCUUAUUCUUUUUAUAAUUUAUAAAAUAAAUUUAUAAAUUAAUUAGUUGCAUCUUCUUAAAAAAAAUCUAAUUUCAAAUGAGUUAGUACUUUUAGAAAUGAUUUCUUUUGAAGAAAAAUAAUGUAUCAAUAAAACUUUUAAAAUUUUGAAAAAUCACUUAUUUAUCACUCUCGAAAAAGUACUCAGACAUGUGAUUAUCCUGAAACGAUUCUAAAGAAAGCACUUUAAUGAAAUGUAUUUCAAAUAUGAACACUCCCAAAGCCAUUAAAAAUUUAGAAGAGAUAAUGACCAAAAGGCAUUUGUAAAAUAAAAAUAUUUCCUUUUUAAGAGGAAAAAAACAAAAGUUCAAGUCUAUCUAAUGAAGUGGCUUGAAUAAGAACAAAAUGAGAGAGGCCAAGCAGAGCAGGGGAUGUUACACACUGAUCCUAUCCCAUCUUCUCCCAUUGUGAGAUCCUAUCUUGCUCUCCUCCCAAAACAUAAGUUACAAAACUACACAUUUUACCAAUAAAUAAAUAAUAGUAGCUAUUAUUAUAUUGGGGGGAAAAAAAAAGCACCACCCAAUCACCAACUGGCCCAUCUCUGUCUCAGCCUCCCUUUUUUUUUUUAUUCUUUUUUUUUUUGUGUCAAUUUGUAUAUUUCGAUAUAAAAGUCACGCUAUGUUUUGGGCUGGUGGCCCUUACUUGGAUUCAUGGAGAAGAAGCCAAAAUCACCUAUCCGCCAUCUUUUUUUCCCAUACCAAAUUGCCCUUGAAUGGCACUUCAAUAACAUCUCCGACCUUAUAUUUGAUUGGUAAUGAAAUAGCAUCAUCAUGUAAGAAAGUUUUACUCAUAAAUUUUAAAUAUUUUAAUUAUGAAUAUUAUUAAAUAUAAGAAAAAUUUUAUAUUUUUUAAUAAUAAAUAUUAAAAUAUAAUAUAAUUUUUAUUUUAAAUAAAUAUUAAAUAUUAAAAAAUAAUACAUAUUUCAUUUUAUUUUUUUAAACUAAAUAUAAGUAUAACGUAACAUAUCUCAUCAUAUAUAUUGUUUUAAAAUUUUAUUUCAUAUCUUAGAACCUCAUAUUUUUGUUAGAAAUUAUAUUAUAAUAUAUGUAUUUUCUAUUAAGCGGGAUAUGAUAUGAUGAGAUAUACAUAUCCUUUAAGAUAUCAUGUCUUAUCCUAUUAAUCAAAAUAUGUCAUAUUUGGUUAGUUGAAUAUAGUAUGAGAAAUGAUAAGGGGACGACACAUCAUAUCUUAUGUUUAGUUGAUAAUGGUAUAAAAGAAGUUAUUUUAUUACUUAUCCUAUUUUAUAUUCAACUAACUAUGAAUGAAAAAUAAAUGAUAAGAUAUAUUAUUCAUCAUUUUUUAUAUUUAUUUUACAUGAAAAAUAUAUUAUUCUUAAGCUAAGAUACAAGACAUAUAUAUAUAUCUCAUAUUUCUUAUUUUUUAAAAUCAAAAUUUAUUAUUUUUUUCUAUUAUUUAUUUAAUAAAAUAAAAAAACUGAUUAAAAAUUAAAAAUAAUACUUAUUUUUAUAUAUUAAAUAACAUAAUAUAAAAAAAUUAUUUAUAAAUUAUAAAUAUUUAUUUUAAACAAAUGUCAAACAUUAAAAAAUAAUAUUUGUUUUAUUUCAUUUUGUUAUAUAUUUUACAAAUUAAAUAUAAGGGUAACAUAACAUAAAUAAUGAUUUUAAGAGCCAUUUAUUUAAAAAAAAUUAAUAUGUGCAAAAUCUUUUUCCCUUAAAUUUCAAAAUUUUAUCUUUUGCUUGCUAUAAUACAAGUGGAAAAUUUUCUCAUUCAAGAUAAGUUAAUCAAUUCAAAGUCUCCACUAAACUUUUUUUUUCUUUUCAAUUUAGCGUAUACAUGAAAACUUUUGAUCUAGACAAAUUUGGUAAUACAAAUGAAACACGUUUUUAUUUUAUUUUAUUUUUUUUCUUUUUCUUUUCCUUUUUUUUAAAAGUGGGGUUCAUUGAUUUUGAUGGGAAAGAGAGAGAAAGAAAAGGAUUGUAUGUGUGACAUUUCAAAGAUUCUCUGAAUUGAUAUGAUUAGUAAGAGAGAAUGCUAUCACGUUAACAAUAGUGAGAGGUUUCUUUUGUACGAAAUAUUGGAAGUUUACAAAAUAUAUUGAAUUUUAUAAAAAUAAAAAAAUAAAAAAACCUAAAGAAAAUUAAAAAAAAAAGAUUGGAAGGAAAGCAUUUUUAAAAAAAUAAUUUUAUAUGAAAUUUUAAUAAAGAAUAAAACAUUAUUAAUACAUAUAUUAAUAAUUUAUUAUGAAUAGAAAAUUUAUGAAUUUUUUUAUGAUCUAUAUUUAAAAUUGUAUGGCAUUUGUUUGGGUGUAAUAAUUAAUAGGUUAUAUUUGGAUCCCAUCAAAAAAUUAAGAAAAUAAAAAAAUAUUUUUUAUAUUUGAUUUUAUCAUAAAAAUAUGAAAAAAAAUGGAAUAUAGUUAAAAUUAAUGAAAAUUUUAUAUAUUUUAAAUUAUUUAAUCUUAAAAUAUGAAAGAAUUAAAUAAGUGAAAAAAAAAAGAAUUUAUUGAAAUUAAAUCUAUUUUUUACUUUUUUUUUUUUUUUUUUUUUUGACAUUUUCCCUCAAAUUAUGGACAACCAAACAUAUGCCAAUAAUUAGAAUAAAUUUUAAAAAAUAAAUUAUGGAACAUCUCCAAAAUGAUAAGAGGGAAAAGGAUAGAAGUUGACAACACGUUUGGAUGAAAAAGAAAAAUGGAAAUAAUUAUGUUUUGUACUAGAAGUGUUUGAAUGUGUUUCUCUUUGGGUAUUUUCUCAAAAGCAAAUGCAGUGAAAAAGAAAAAAAAAUUUAGUUUGAAAAUAUUUAAUAACUUUUAAUUAAAAAUAAUUUUUGAAAAUUUGUUGAUAACUUUUCCAUUAUACCAUACAUGAGAAUAUACUAAAAAUAAUUAUUUUUUAUAUUUGUAUUUUCAAGUAAAACUUUAUUUCUCUGAAUGUAAUUGAUAACCAUUUUUAAAAAUUAUUUCUAAAAACCUUUUUAUUUUUUAGAAAUAUUUUUGAACACUUUACCAAAUAAAACCUACAUCCUUUAUUUAUUUUUAAUCAAAAUUAAAAUAUAUUUUAUUUUUUUAAUAAAUAUGAAUUAUAGUUCUGUCUGCUUGAAAGAAUUUUAUAGAAAAAAUAAUUUUUUUUAUUUAAAUUAUACAUUUUUUGGAUUUUUAAAUUUAACCAUGAUGUGUUUAAAAUAGAAAAAAAUUGUUACAAUAUGAACGAAAUUUUAUUUUGAGAUAAAAAAGAAACUGAAUAACAAAUCAUGGGUAGAAAGCUGCAGAAAUCUACCUAAAAACAGCAGGCUUGUUUGGAACCAUUGAAUUCGUAAAGCCGUGUCUACUCUUUGGGCAUUAAUAAAUGGAGGAGAAUUUAUCAAACAAUGGCAUUUCUGUAACUAUUAGGAAAUACCAUGGGAGUUUUCAUCCUCUCCAGUUUCAUAUAGGAUACAGGCGACGAUACUCCACGCCACCAACUCAUCAGUCAUCAGACUCAUCACUGUCAUCACUCUUCUCUCAGCCUUUCGCCCCACCUCUUUCUUUCUUUCUUUCUUUUUUUUUUUUUCCUUUCAUAAUUGAAAAAGUGACCAGAAAGCUUCCAUAAAAUAUUCAGCUCUUUGGGUCUUUGAGCUUCUCAGAUCUCUAAGCCUACUUGAGAGAAAGUUUACAAACAGGGGAACGGCUUGUUUGGAUGAGAUGAUUCGAUUACCAGAGAGGUUUAGAGCGUUUUUAAACAACAGAUGGCUGGUAUUUGUGGCCGCAAUGUGGAUACAGUCGUGUGCCGGAAUUGGGUACUUGUUUGGGAGUUUAUCGCCGGUGAUGAAGAGCUCUCUCAAUUACAAUCAGAGGCAGAUUGCAAAGUUGGGUGUGGCUAAGGAUAUUGGAGACAGUAUUGGGUUUUGGAUUGGGAGCCUGUGUGAGAUUUUGCCUCUGUGGGCUGUUCUGCUCGUUGGUGCUUUGCAGAAUUUUAUUGGGUAUGGGUGGGUUUGGUUGAUUGUCACUCAUCGAGUUCCAACACUGCCUUUGUGGGCUGUGAGUAUCGUUUAUCAAAUACUUUUCCCUUUUCUCUCCCUUUUCGAUUUCACGUGAUCCAUCGCCUAAAGUAGCUGUGCUUUUUUGUUUCUUCUUUCUUUUGGUUUUUGUUUGAUGUCUGUUUUCUUCUAGUUACACAUAAUGAUCUGGGUCUUUUUGUUAAACUUUGCAAGAUGCACUGAGUAUCUCAAACUAAGUUCAAAUGAUCACUCUUUAGAUUUCUGGAGCACAGUUCAAUCCUUUUUUUGUUUGAUAGAGCAGUGCUCAGUUUAAUUUGUCAAUCGGAUAUUCUCUUGCAAGAAUAAUUGUUAUUCUCUACUUUUCGGAAAAGUUUCUGGAUUUUAGCAUCCAGAGUCCUGCAAUUGAUAGUGGGUUGUUUUAUUGUAUUACCCUUCUGCAUAUUCUGUUUUUCUUUUACUUUUCCUUUGUUCUUUACCUAUAGGGAUCCUUUUAAGAUUCUGGAAUUGAUUUUAGCUGCAUUAUUUCCUUGAUUGAGCAAAGGAGUUAAUUUUAUUAUUUUUGAUAUUCAGUCUUCUUUAGAUUAAAUUUUUGAAAUCUUAUUUACUUUCCAAAUUUGAGUAGGGGUUUCUGUUUUAUUUUAUUUUAUUUUUCUAAUUUUGCUUUAUAUCGUAGUUGGUCCUUUCCAUUUGAGUUGAGACUUGCAUUUCUGCUGGUGAAACAGCAUUAUCCUUCUGUGCAUGAUAAGAAAUUACAUUGAAGAUGGUUAAUAAAUAAAUUUGGCAGAUAUUUAUGCUUCAGAUAUCCAACAAUCUAAGGGCUAAGGUGCUUGUGAUUGAUUUCAGAUGGAUGAAUUGGUUGUUCUACUGGGCUCCACUACUCCCUUGGGAUUGGUCAUGAAUCACAUUUCAAAGAUCUAAGGGCAAUCCAUUUCACAAGAUCUUUGAUGCUUUUGACAAUGUGGUUGAGAAGUUUGGCUUUGCAAAUGAUCUGAUACAUGAAUCAAAUUUUACCUUUGAAAUGUUUGUGUCAUCGUUUUUUUUCUCAUUACAGUUCUGGAGUCAGAUAUUUGUUCCUUGUGUUUUGUAUUGCUCUCCAAAGUACAACCUUUUUUGUUUUCACUAAACUUCAAAUUAUGUUCUAAUUUUUGGUUUACAUGGAUUGCCCUAGUGAGCUAUAUGUCCCUUUACUCCUUUAUCGGUAUAUUUGCUUCUUCAAAUUAUGCAUUUACCCUGGCUUUUAUUUCACCAGAAUUUACCAAUACAAUCAGUACAAUAAGAUAAUAGUGAAAUAUACUUAAAAUUCAGCACUAACAUAUUAUGAUUGAAAUAUAUUAGCCCUAGUGUACAUUGUUUGCUUUUGGGUUAGAUUGAUAGCCUAACAUGGUAUUAGAGCUUUGAUUAAUUAAAGGUCUCGAGUUUGAGUCUCUAUGUUUGUUUAUUCCCACACCUGUUUAUUUGCAAUUCGUAAUAUGUGAUUUGCUUCUCCAUGUGUGGGUAUGAGGCCCAGUAAACCAACUCUCAAUGCAAUUUAUUAUAUGGUUCCAACUUGUCUUAUUUUGGGCAUUAAUCAUUGGCUGAGCUGUAGUUAUCAUAUGAGUCAUGCACUGAAAAGCUUCUGAAACUUUGUGUUCCAGACAAUGUUAGAUUUAAGCUGGUCAAAUGGAUCCUUAAGUUGAAAGUAAUAUGCUAAAUUUGACUACUUGUAGCCUUAUGAGGAGACUUUUUAAUCUUGCAUCCCUUCUUGCUGUGGUUAAAUUGUUAAUGGAUAUCAAAAUGCAGAUAUGCAUUCUUAUAUUUGUGGGAACAAAUGGUGAGACCUACUUCAAUACGGUGGAUCUGGUUUCCUGUGUGCAAAAUUUCCCAAAGAGCCGGGGGCCUGUGGUUGGAAUAUUAAAAGGCUUUGCUGGGUUGAGUGGCGCCAUUUUGACACAGAUAUAUACCAUGAUCCAUUCCCCUGAUCACGCAUCCCUCGUAUUCAUGGUUGCAGUGGGUCCAAUAAUGGUAGUUUUUGCCCUAAUGUUCAUUGUUAGGCCUGUUGGAGGUCACAGACAAGUCCGGCCAACUGAUGACUUAAGUUUCACAUUCAUCUAUGGUGUCUGCCUCCUUUUGGCUGCUUAUUUGAUGGGGGUCAUGCUUGUCCAAGAUCUAGUUCACUUAAGCCACACAGUGGUCACAAUUUUUACAGCAAUUUUGUUUGUCCUCAUUUUAGCACCAAUUGUGAUUCCUGUGUCACUGAGUUUUUUCUCAGAGCCAAAAGCUCCUGAAGCAGAGGCUCUUCUAACAGAGCCACAGAAAGACGAACCUGGCAAGUCCGAACAGGAUGCAACUGAGGUUAUAUUUAGUGAGGUGGAAGAUGAGAAGCCUAAGGAAGUAGACUUGCUUCCAGCAUCAGAAAGGCAAAAACGAAUUGCCCAUUUGCAAGCAAAACUGUUCCAAGCAGCUGCAGAAGGAGCUGUGAGGGUCAAGAGGAGGAGGGGGCCGCAUAGAGGGGAGGACUUUACCCUGAUGCAGGCUUUGAUUAAGGCAGACUUUUGGCUUAUCUUUUUCUCACUUCUUUUGGGUUCUGGAUCUGGUUUGACAGUGAUUGAUAAUUUGGGACAGAUGAGCCAGUCUUUAGGAUAUCAUAAUACACAUAUAUUUGUAUCCAUGAUCAGCAUUUGGAAUUUUCUUGGUCGAAUUGGUGGAGGUUACUUCUCUGAGAUGAUAGUCAGGUACAAACUUGCUUCAUUUCCCACUGGGUUUCCAGAUUUGAUUUUGAUUUUGGUUUGUGCUCAUUUUUCUUAUCUGAUCUUGUGAUGCUUGUUGAGUAGGGACCAUGCUUACCCACGGCCAGUGGCCAUGGCAGCGGCCCAAGUUAUAAUGGCACUCGGACACUUAUUCUUUGCUAUGGGAUGGCCUGGGGCAAUGCACAUUGGUACUCUAUUGAUUGGGCUUGGUUAUGGGGCCCACUGGGCAAUUGUGCCGGCUGCUGCCUCUGAGUUGUUUGGCUUGAAGAACUUUGGGGCUUUAUACAAUUUUCUCACGCUUGCAAACCCUGCAGGUUCACUAGUGUUUUCUGGUGUCAUUGCUAGCAGUAUAUAUGAUCGUGAAGCGGAGAAACAAGCUCAUCACCACCAUCACCUGCAGCAGAACGUAGGAUCGAUUUUCUCUGGCAUGCUUAGUAUGGAUGACCCUCCAAAAUGUGAAGGUUCCAUAUGCUUCUUUCUCACUUCUAUGAUAAUGUCUGGUCUCUGCAUUAUAGCAGUUGUUUUAAGCAUGGUACUUGUACAUCGGACAAAGAUUGUCUAUGCCAACCUCUAUGGAAAAUCACGUACUUGACUCAUGGCAAGAGUAGCAAAAGGUGCAUUGUGAGUAGAGUGUUUGUCCAAUUUAUGUCAAUGUUUUGUAUACUUCAUUCCGAGCUCGUGGAGAAGUUGCUGAUUUUUAACCUAUGUUUCUGAAAGCUAAGCAAUUCUCCAGAACACGGGACUCCAGAGGGGGAAGCAGAUGGAAUUUAGACACUGCUUUUUUCGGGUGUUCCACAAUGUUUGCUAUAAUGUAUUGGAGUCACAUGGUUCUAUUUUGUAUGUUGAGGUGUUGUGUAUUUCUUUUCAUUCUAGUUUGGACAUUUAUUUGGUGUGGAAGCAUUAAAUUUGUUUCCCUAAAAGUUCUUUCUUACGUCUGUUGUUGGGACUUUUUGAGGAGGAUGUGCUUACUAUUUUUCAUUCAUUAUUGACACUGAAUUUCUUAAUUUGCUUAUAUUUUGAGAAAAGUUGCAGAACUUUUGUUGUAAAUUAAGCAUCAAUUGGCAGGCUGUAUGAUCAUUAUGAUUCUCUAGUUUGAGGAUAUCUAAACAACAGGCUGUAAAAUAUUGUCUUCCAAAUCUAUCUUACAACCUAAAUUAAAAAAAGAAAAAGGGAAAAAAUGAAUUGCUAAUCUUCAAUGUUGUGGGUCUUAUUAUGAAGACUCUGAACAUUUCAAGGAUACAACAGAGUACAUGCAGGGGAUUUCAGGAAACUGGAUAAUGAGGAAUUCGUUACGGAACUUGUUGCUGAGACAUUGCCUUCAUGAAGUGAAGGCUGUGCAACCCGUCCUAGUCUCUCCUUGGUCACCAGUUUUGACGCCAACUCUCCCAAGCUUCCUCAUUGCAGUGAUGAAAGCUACAUUGAACUCACCUGGGCUGUUGGCAAAAUCAGUGGCUGUAUAGGCUGAGAUGCAGGAUCAGUGCCUCAUCUGAAGUGAACAAACCCUUUCCUGCCACCAGAUUCUGGUAAUACACAUUGUCAAAUGUUCGUGAGGUUACAGGAUCCAUGUCAAUUGCUAUGCUGGGAUCCACAUUCUGAGGGCAAACUGACAUUAGCUGCUUGGCGUAAUCUCGGUCUAGAGAAGGGUCCACCGGGGAGGAUGAGGAGAAUGAGUAAAGGUGGUUGGCAAAGCGGCUGCAGUGGGAGAAGCCUAGAGUGUGUGCUCCAGACAAUGCUAUCAUAUCAAGCUGGCUAAGGUUGUGUCUCGCAAGCAUGGAGUUGAGUUGGUCAAGAUCAAAGGGAGGUUCUGGCAGGUUUCCACCAACCCGAGAUGCUUGAGGGAUGAGACCAUCAUGACAACCCAAUUCUACACUGAAUCAAGGGCUUCCAACCUGGGAGUUUUCAGAACGAGUUUUUGGUUAAAAAAAAAGUGAGACGAUUCAAUGACUGCUAAUGAGGUCGUGCGUCCUUACCAGGGCUACAACAUCUCUGGCAGCUAGAGCCAGAAUAUCUGCACAAGGGCCUAUCUCUGGGCAUGCUGCUUCUACUGCUUGCUUGGCUUUGAAUACGGUGUCACAGGCACCGUCUCCUGCAAGGGAGUGAUUAUCUUUAGAAUCCUUCUCCGCAUCCCCAUUUGGUGAUGAAAUCAGGACUGAGGCAUCACAUCCCUGCAAAGAUAAGCACAGAAAUCUGUUUGCAAUGUUUGUUCCAAAACAAUCAAAUAAAUAAUCAAUCAAGUCAUGUUUGUUUCUAAGAAUGACAAGAAAACAGAUAACAGAAGGUAAAAUAGAAACGUAAAAAGAUACAAAUCCGAUCCCCCAAAUAUCUCCUUCCAUGAAUCUUCCUUCCUUGUUUGAACACCAACUUUCUUACUCUCUUAAAUAAAAAAUUAUGAAAAUGGAUAAAUUUCCCUUAGUUUCUAUAAUAAUUAAGUGGAUUGUGCCUGAAAAGUGAAAAUAGAGGGUUUGAGAUGUAAAACAGCUAACUGCAGCCAUCUUGUCCAAUUCAAAGGAGUAAUCAAUUUGCAUGGAAACUCCCCUCUUUAUAUAAUCAAGAGCUUUCAUGCUAGAAACCCAAGUGUGUUUGUUCUUUAUACUUAGAGGCGGGUUUUCUGUGUGACCGUAUCUUCCAUUGCAGAAAAACUAGUGUCCUAUCUUUGUUUUUAUCUCAGAUUCUUAGUAAAAAGAGCAUCUCUCUCUUUUCCCCCCUCAUGUCCUGCUUGCUCAUUUGGGCACCCCAAUCACAAUCCAAAGGACUUUGAAUAUAGGAAAAGACACCAGCCUGAGAUGUUUUCAUCACAGCAAAAUGCAACACAGAAAUAGAACAGAUAGUUACUGCCCGCUAUACCUCAACAAAGCAGUCAUGGAAAAACAGUCGAAGACUGGCCGGGAUUGUGUUGAACGUCUGGCUAACCUUGACGGAUACCGAUUGUUUCACCAUAGCUUCCACGUUGGGACAACUCGAACUGUAAAAGUUCUCCGCCAAUUGUCCCUCUCCCUUCCCAACCCACUAGACACAACCCCAUCCCUGCCUUCAUUUUUCUCUCCAUUAACACACUCUAUCUCUUCGUAGUCCAUUUCUGGGGAUUAUAUAUAUAUAUAUAGUUCAGAUGAAGAGAAGGAAGCAAGGAGACUAGAGACUUUGGGAUUCUUCGUAUAAUUAGUCUAAGCCUUUGGUUUGCCAUUCAAAUGACCACAUGCAGUUAAGCAUAUAAAGAAAGUUAAAUUAAGCUUUUUUAUUACUGGGUUCAUUUCUUGUAUUGGGAUAAACACAACUUCCAUUCAACGCCUGAAUAACCUAUGGCUCUUAUUUCACCAUUGUUUUUAGGAUCAGGGAUAUUACUGGUUUCAGCUAGAAAAUGAGAAGGAAAAUGAAGAUUCAAAAGGGGAGAAAAAUUGCUCAGUUUUCAUUCAUUAAACUGUGUAAAAAACAGAGUACAAAAAAGGAGAUAUAUAUGAGUUCUAACUUUCUCUUGACCAACUAUACAACUCAGCAUAUCUAAAAAUGUAAAAAACAAAAAACACAAAGGGUAAUUUGUUAUGUAAGGACUGAGUUAUUUACAAAGAAUACCAUGCUACUCUAAUACUCUCUCUCGAGAUGGAGAAUGAAUAUUGUGAAUUCCCAUCUUGUAAAGAAGAAACUUGAACUAGUUUGAAAAAGUGGCUUGGUGAAAAGAUCUGCAAUCUGGUUUUGAGAAGAGACAUGGAGUGUUUUGAGAUAACUUGCUUGUAUUUUUUCUCGGACAAGAUGGCAAUCUAUCUCAAUGUGCUUGGUCCGCUCGUGAAACACCGGAUAGGCUGCAAUGUGUAGAGCUACUUCAUUAUUACAAUAUAAAAUUGUUGGUUGCUUGUGUUCAAUGCCAAAGUCUCAAAGAAGAGAUAAUAACCACACAAGUUCACAAGUCAUAUUUGCCAUUGUUCUAUAUUCGGCCUCAAAUGAUGAUUGUGAUACUGUAUUUUGCUUCUUAGAUUUUCAUGAAACCAAGAGUUCCCAAGAAAGAUGCAAUAUUCACUAAUAGAUCAUCUUGAAUCCUUGCAAGCUACCCAAUCCGCAUCAGCAAAGGCCUUGAAUUGAGUUGUUGAAGAGGAAGGAAAAUAGAGACCCUAUCCAACUGAUCCUUUGAUAUAUUGCAGAACUCAAUAAGCAGCUUGAAGAUGACUAGAUCUUGGAAUUAGCAAGGAACAGGCUGAGACGAUACACUAAGUAUGAGAGAUAAGCCUGAGUGUUUGUGAAGUAAAGAAGAUUAGCAAUCAGUUGUCUAUACAAUCUUGGGUCUUCAAGCAAUUCCCCAUCAUGCUGUGAAAGCUUAACAUUAGUUAAAAGAAGCUUAACUGUGACCAGCUUUGCCACGGGAGAGAAAGUAUCAAGAUAAUCAACACCCUCUUGCUGAGAAUCACCCUUGGCAACAAGCCGAGCUUUGUGUUGCUCAAGAGAGCCAUCAGUUGAGAAUUUGAGCUUAUAUACCCAUUUGCAGCCCACGAGAUGUUUACUAGGUGGGAGAGUAGUGAGAUACCAAGUUUCAUUCUGUUUAAGAGCCUGAAGUUCAGCUUGCAUUGCUUGGCGUCACUCAGGAAUAACAAUAACUUGCGAAAAUGAAGUAGGCUCAACAUGAGAAGAAAUGGAGAUGAUGAGACCAUGAUGAGAUGAAGAGAGUUUAGCAUAUCCAAGAACAUCAAAGAGUGGAUAAGUAGGAGAGGAAAAGUGAGAAGUAGUGGAAAAACAAUGGAAAUCCUUGAGAUAUGAGGAAGGUCAAGUCAUGCGGGCAGGGCGAGAAUGAGAUGGAGGAAGUGUGGGAGGUUCGAGAGAAGGAGAAAUAAGGCUAGGGUCAUGAGAUGGUGAAAAGGGUUGAUGAAAAGUAUGAGAAAAUGAAGAUGGAGGCACAAGUUAAAAAAAAAAAAAAAAAUUCCCAAAAGUGAGGGUGGAAUUGGUGGACUAGAAAGAGAAUAUUGAUUCAUGUAAGAUAACAUCUCGACUAAUGUAAAUUGCAUUGGUUGACAAGUUCAAGAGUUUAUAUCCCUUAUAACCAGGCAGGUAACCAAGAAAAAUAAAGGGAAUGACUCUAGGAGAAAACUUAGUGUGAUGUCGAUCAAGAGUUAAUCCAUAGCACAAACAACCAAAAGCACGUAAAUGAGAAUAUGAGGAAACCUUAUUAUAAAGAAUCUCAAAAGGUGUUUUAUUAGGCAAAACCGGAGAUGGAAUGCGAUUAAUGAGAUAUGUGGCAGUAAGAAUACAAUCACUCCAAUAGUACAAUGGAAUGCAAGACUAAAACAAGAGUGCACGUACAACACUAAGAAGAUGUUGAUGCUUUAGUUUAACCACAAAAUUCUAUUGAGAUGUAUCAACACAAGAAUGGAAAGAAAUUGUUCCCUUAUCCCGGAAAAAAUAAAAAAUAAAAAGAUAACUCAAGGGGUUUACAUACAGAUUUGAUAUUCACACCAAAUUGAGUUUGAAUCAGCUUGUAAAAAUUAAGAAAGAUGCUAAUGACAUUAGAUUUGGAACGCAACAAAUAAACCUAAAUAAAACGUGAAAAAUCAUCCACAAUAGUAAGAAAAUAACGGUAUCCUUCAUGGUAAGAUGAUGAAAAGAUCCCCAAAUAUCAAGAUGAAUCAACUCAAAAGGAGAAUGUGUAAUUGUAUUAGAAAUAGGAAAUGGUAACCGUUUCUGUUUAGCCAAAUGACAAACUUUACAAUGAGAAGGAUGAAUAACUAAAUCCUUGAGUUUUAUUACAUUUGUGUUAAGCCUAAUAAGAGAUGGGUGUUCUAAAUAGCUAUGCCAAAGUUGAUGAUCAGACUUUAUGGCAUUGUUAGAAAUAGCAGAGAUGAUGAAAAACAUGAGGAAAAGGUUGGUAGGAUCUAGAGAUAUGAGAUUUUCGAAGUGGCCACCCAUCUCAAUCAUCUUCCUUUGCAUAUGCUUAUAUUACGGUUCAAGGAAUUUUUGGAAUUUCAUUCCUAAGGGUUAAUAUAAAUACCUUUUAUGUAACCCUAAUUUUAACAUAGUGAAAAUCAUUUUUCCUUAUUCUCAUGGACGUAGGCAAUUAGCCAAACCACGUUAAAUCUUUGUGUUCUUCUUUCUUGUUUUUUUUUUCUAUUUUUCGCCAUUAAUUAUUGCACGGAUUCCAACAUGUGUAGCACUGAUGCCAAGUACCUAGGAAUUGGAAGGAAUCAAGUUAUGAGAAAAGGGAGAUAAAAAGGAAUAUUUACCAAGAAAAUUUGAGAGUAAAGGGGAUUCCCACUCUUAUGAUUCUAGAGUGGUAGUCGUGGUUCGAUGCAGCUGUGAACUCAACAAAGCAAUAAGUUGUUGACAUUGGUUGAAGAAAAUAACACCCAAUGUUGCAUAUGAUGAAGUGAGCCUGUAUCACCGGAUACAACAAAAGUGGUUUGAUGGGCUUGAGCUUGACCCGUUGAAUUCUUCGAUCAAGGUUUGUAUCAUGGGGGAUACCCAUGAAGCUUGUAACACUUGUCCAUUGUAUUUCCUUGAAGACCAUAAUAGACACACUGAGGAUGCUCUAGCUUUCCUUUAGAAGGAACAUUGCUAAUAUGAGCAUUUACUCAAGCUGAAUUGUAAUCACCAAGAACUAGAAGAUCCCCAAAAGAUGACGAUCCAUAAUUGAUAUUCCGAUGUCAUUCCUCUUGAAUCACAAGUGCAAAAACUUUUGUAAGAGAUGGAAAAGGCUUCAUCAUCAAAAUUUGACUCUGGGUCUGGGCAUAAGAAUCAUUUAACCCCAUUAAAAAUUGGAUUACAUAUUCCUGCUAUUGAUAGUCUGACCAAGCUUGCAUUCCACCACAAUGGCAAAUAGGUAGGGGUUGAAAAUUCUUAAGCUCUUCCCAAAUGAUCUUGAAUUGUGUAUAAUAAGCAUUAAUACCAAGGGCUCCUUGCUACAACGCAAUAAGUUGCUUCAUAAGUUAGAAGAUGUGAGGGGCAUUACUCUGGCGGAAAUGAUCGCGUAGAUCUGUUUAGAUCUCAUGGGCAUUGCCGAUGUACAUAAUGCUCUCAACAAUUUCUUUGGAAACAAAAUUCAAGAGCCAAGAAAUUACCAUGCUAUUGCAGCGGUUCCAAGCAUUGAAAAGAAGAUCGUCUGAGGUAAGUCGAGAAAUGCAACCAUCGAUGAAUCCCACCUUGUUCUUUGUCGUCAACCCCAUCAUCAUAACUCUACUCCAGUUAUUGUAAUUGCUUCCAGAUAAAUGGUGUGAAACGAGGAUGAGCCUAGGAUGAUCUCCAUUAUGGAGAUAAAAUGGACUACUAGAAUCAUCCAUUGGCAAUGGGUCUGAGGAACCAACCACAGGGUGGGCAUAUGUCGAUUGGUUGCCUUGAGCCAUUAGGUGAAGAAGAAGAUGGAAACAACGAUGAGCAAAAAGGAAAGCUCUAAUACCAUAUUACUAGUUUUAGCUAGAAAAUAAGAAGGAAAAUGAAAAUUCAAAAAAAGAGAAAAUUUACUUAGUUAUCAUUCAUUGAACUGUAUAAAAACAUAAAGUUAUGUUUGGUUCCUGGAAAAUACUAAGAAAAGAAAAAAAAAAUACAAAGGGAAAUGAUUUUUUCAUAUUUGAUUGUCAUAUGAAAAAUAUAAAAGAAAACUAAAUAUAAUUAAAACUAAUUAAAAACUUAUGUAUUUUUAAAUUAUUUAAUCUUUAUAUUAUGAGUUAAAAUAAAUAAAAUGAGUUUAAAGUAACAAAAAAAUAAUAAUUUAUCAACUUUUAAUCUAUUUUUUUUUUAUUGUCUUUCACUUUUUUUUUCCUUCUACUUUUCCUUUAUAUUUUCUUUCCCUUGCAUUUUUCUUCAAAUUUUGUGGAACCAAACAUAGCCUAAUACAAAUAUAUAUAUGAGUUAUGGAACUUUCUCCCAACCAACUAUACAAUUCAGCAUAUCUAAAAAUAUAAAAAACACAGAACACAAAGGGUAAUUUGUUAUGCAAGGACGGAGUUAUUUACAAAGAAUACUUAGGGAAUCAAAAUGUCUAUAUUUUUGUCCUGUCUUACAAGUCACGUCACCUUGCUGCAAGGUUAUCUCGUUUGCAAUUUUUAUACUCUUAAGAGAUAACGAAACUUUCCACUUCUGCAUGCGCGUGGUUGGGCAUCUGUCACUGUCAUGUAACCUUACCCAUUCAAUAAAAUAUAGCCGCUUCUCAUCAUCCUCGCCAUCCCACGAGCUUCUUACUUUCAAAAUUUCUCCUCGUAACUAGAAUAGUAUUCAGAAGGCUUAAGUACGCCGCUUGUCUGGGAUGCAUCUUUUUGAUUUUUCAAUUCAAACUGUUCCUUGAAGUGAAGAAACUAUACUGAUGGAGAUGAAAAAACCUAUAAAUGAGGCAGCAAAGCUUGCCAGCUGUUUGUUUGAUCGAUAGUUCAAUUUGUAGUUGUUUCCAUCGGUUCUAUAGAUGGCGAGGUUAGGUAGGUGUUGCUUCCUUUUUUUUUCCUUGUUUAGACAUGUGAAAAUGACUUAAUAAAAAAAAAAAUCAAAAGUCUAAAUGCCACGUAGUGUUCACAUGGGAAAUGCUCCAUUUGAUCCAUAUUACUUGGUUUUUUCAAUGACAUGUGAAUGUGUAUUUGACGAGAGAAGAGGGGUGGCUCUACUGGCUAUGGUAAGUUGAUCGCUAACCAGCCACACCAGACCCUCUUUCAUCAGCAUACUUAGUUUUUCGAAUUACUCUUCAUUUGUUUCUCUUUAAUAGCCAAAUUGGUUCAAUUGUCUAAAAAUGAAUCAAAUUCCAGAUAUGACUUGGCACAAAAAUCACCUCAAUUGAUAUCAUUCCAGGGGAUUCCCAAAUGACUCUCUGUAUUUCUUGAUUUGCUUACAUUAUGAGAGUAGUUACAGAAAUUAAGUUGUACAGUAAGCAUCAACUGGUAGGUUAUGAUCAUUAUGACUCUCUAGGCUGUGAAAAUCUAAACAACAGCAUGUAAAAUAUUGUCUUCGAAAUCUAUUUACAGCCCAAAUAAAAAAAGAAAAUUGCAAAUCUUCAUUGUUGUAAGUCUUCUUAUGAAAGAAUAUGAACAUUACAAGGAUGAAAAAACAAGGAGUUCACAUACAGAGGCAAUCAGAAAACAGAGUAAAUGCAGGGGGCUAUGGAAAAAAAAUUGAACUGUCUUGACUAUAUUGACAAACUGUAGAUAACAUAUCGGUAAGGCAAACUGGAUAAUGAGGAAUUCCUUACAGAAUUUGUUGCUGAGACAUUGCCUUCAUGAAUUAAAGGCUGUGCAAUCCUUCCUAAUCUCUCCUUGGUCACCAGUUUUGACGCCAACUCUCCCAAGCUUCCUCAUUGCGGUGAUGAAAGCUCCAUUGAACUCACCUGGGCUGUUGGCAAAAUCAGUGACUGUAGGCUGAGAUGAAGGGUCACUGAAGAGCGCCUCAUCUGAAGUGAACAAACCCUUUCCUGCCACCAGAUUCUGGUAAUACUCAUUGUCGAAUGUUCGUGGGGUUACAGGAUCCAUGUCAAUUGCUAUGCUGGGAUCCACAUUCUGAGGGCAGCCCGACAUUAGCUGCUUGGCGUAGUCUGAGUCUAGAGAAGGGUCCACCUGGGAGGAUGAGGAGAAUGAAUAUAGGCGGUUGGCAAAGCGGCUGCAGUGGGAGAAGCCUACAGUGUGUGCUCCAGACAAUGCUAUCAUGUCAAGCUGGCUAAGGUUGUGUCUUGCAAACAUGGAGUUGAGUUGGUCAAGAUCAAAGGAGGGUUCUGGCAGGUUUCCUGCAACCCGAGAUGCUUGAGAGAUAAGGCCAUCACGACGACCCAAUUCUACACUGAAUGAAGGGCCUCCAGCCUGAGAGUUUUCGGAAUGAGUUUUUGGUUUAAAAAAGAAAAAGAAAAAAGGGAAACACUUUCAGUAACUGCUAAUGAGGUCGUGCAUCCUUACCAGGACUACAACAUCUCUGGCAGCUAGAGCCAGAAUAUCAGCACAAGAGACUAUCCCUGGGCAUGCUGCUUCUACUGAUUGCUUAGCUUUGAUUACAGUGUCAAACCCGUCUCCUGCAAGCGAGAGAUUAUCAUCUGAAUCCUUCUCUGCAUCCCCAUUUGGUGAUGAAAUCAGGACUGAGGCAUCACAUCCCUGCAAAGAUAAUGUUUGAAAUGUUUUUUCAUAUUUUGCUUAAUUUCUGGUGUUGGGUGUUCCAUUUUCAAAUGUAAAAUGAAUCAAUAGUUAUGUUUGGUUCUAAGAAUGAUGAGAAAAGAGAUAAUUAAAAAAAAUUGGAAGGUAAAAGAAUGCAAAUCCGAUCCCCCAAAUUUCUCCUUCCAUGAAUCUUCCUUCCUUGUUUGAAUACCAACUUUGUUUGUCUCUCAAAUAAGAAAAUUUUAAAAAUGUCUAAAAUUUCUCUUAAUUUCUAUAAUAAUUAAAUGGAUUGUGCCUGACAAGAGAAAACAAAGGGGUUGAGAUGUAGAGCUGACUGCAGCCAUCUUGUCCAAUUCAAAGGAGGAAUCAAUUUGCAUUGAAACUUGGCGCCUUGUAUAAAGAAACUCAAGGGUGUGUUUGUCCUUUACAUUUAAUGGCGUUGUGCCAUUUUUCUUCACUGCACAUCGAGUAACAAUGAACUUGAGAAUCUUAGUCUUUGAGCCAGUUGACUUUUUCUCAAGUUCUAUUGACCAAAUUGUGCAAGAGUUAGAGGCGGGUUUUUUUUUUCCGAUGUGACCACAUCUUCCAUUGCAGAAAAACAAGAUUCUUACUAGAAGGAACAUCUCUCUUUUCUCCCUCAUCUGCGCUUGCUCAUUUGAGCACCCCAUAAUCACAAUCCAAGGGACUUGUAUAUAGGAAAAAACACCAGCGUGAGACGUUUUCAUCGGACGUGGACGAUCACACCAAUAUACAAAACAAAGAAUAAAAGAAAAAAACAGAAAAAGUUAUUGCCCACAAUACCUCAACAAAGCAGUCAUGGAAAAACAGUCGAAGAGUAGCCGGGAUUGUCGUGAACGUCUGACUAAACUUGGUGGAAACCUCUUGUUUCACUAUAGCUUCCACGUUGGGACAGCUCGAACUGUAAAAGUUCUCCGCCAAUUGUCCCUCUCCCUGCCCCACCAUCAGCAGAACCAUCACUAAACACAACCUCCUCCAUGCCUGCAUUUUUCUCAUCUCCAUCAACACACCUCUCUUCCUCUCCAUGGUCCAUUGCUGGCUAUUAUAUACAUAUAUAUAUAAAACUCAGAUGAAGACAAGAAAUGAGCGAGCCUAGCAACUUUGAAUCGAUCCUUUGUGUACUUGGUCUAAGCCUUUGGUUUACCAUUGAAAUUACCACAGUUGAACAUGUAAAGAAAGUGAAAUAAAGCUUUUUUAUUACUGGGUUCAUUUAUAAUAUUGAGAUAAAUACAACUUUAUCUAACACCUGAAUAACUAUGGCUCUUACAUACAAUUGCUUUUAGGAUCAGAGAGUUGAAGUGUCUCUAUCUUACGUCUCAAGUCCCCACACCAUCCGAAGGUUACAUACGAAAAUUUCCACUUCCGCAUGCGCGUGGUAGGGCAUCGGUCAUUGUCAUCUUGGUCAUCCCGCUGGCUUCUUAUUUUCAAAGUUUCUCCUAACAUAUCAUUCAGAAGGCAUAAAUUAUAUCAAUGGAGAUGAUGUAACCUAUAAAUGUAGCAGGAAAUUGCCAGUUGUUUGUUUGAUUAAUUGUUCAAUUUCUAGUUGUUUCAAUGGGUUCUACCAGAUGGAGUUGAGGUUAGGUAGAGGCGCUCCCUUUCUUUUCUUGUUUAGACUAGACACGUGAAAACGACUAAGUAAAAAACUCGUUUGAGUAGUGCUCACAUGGGAAAUGCUUCAUUUGAGCCGUAAUAACUUGGUCUUUUUCAAUGCUCUUGGUGGCACAUAGAUAACUGCCAUAGCCAGAGAAGAGAAGUCGGGUGGUCCUUUUCCCUUCUAGCAACAGUAAGUUGACAAUCAUCCAUACCCACACCAAACCCCUUUUUCAUCAUCCUAUUCAGUUUCUCCGCCAUAACCAAAUUGGUGCAACUGCCCAAAGCCAUAACAUUGCUCUUUCACCAAACGUUCACCAAAUGGUUCGAAUUCCACAUAUGACUUGGUACAGACGGGAUUAAGUUGGAAAUAUCAAUGCAAACAGACCCUGAUCGAUAUUCUUGACCUAGCAAUUACAUCGAGACACUAUCUUAAUAACCUACUCAUUUUAUUCUUAUAGUAACGCCGCCCGACCGCCGUCCAAUUUAAAAUUCAUAAGCUCCUGGCAUCAGGGAUAACUGAUUACUUUUACUAAACACAAAAAAAUAUAUACAUUUUGUAGUAUAUCAUAUGCACCAAAGAAAAACAUUAAAAAUUAAAUUUUUUUAAUUAAUUAUACAGAUGACAUAAAAAUUGUCAAUGUAGAAUUAACUCCCUCAAAUUAAAAAAGACGAAAUCGUGUGUAACAUAAACCCGAUCAAAGGCUCACAAAUGGAAGUUGUAAUUAAUUGAAAUUUAUUUAUUUGAUGAGAUAGAUGUAAUCAUUAUUCUAACAAGAGGAGUAGCCAGGAAUUUGUCCCAGAUGACAGACAUUAAAAAUUUAUUUUAAAGACCAAAUAUAACAAAAAUCAUGAUGUUCAAACCUAUGGUAGGCUUGCUUCACUUGUCAGACAUGCACAUAGUCAACGUGGCUCUCUCCCGUAUUUUAUCUCUAAGGACUAUCUCCGCGAGUCUUUUAAAAGUAGAGAAAAUAUUUUUAGGGAAAAGUGAGUUUUCUUCCUAAUAUAAAAAUAUAUAAUUUUUUUUUUAAAUUAAUAUUAUUUUUUUAAUUUAAAAGAAUUUAAAAUAUAUGUAAUUUUUUUAUGAAUCAUCUAAUUAUUUCCUAAUUUGCUCUUUUUACUUACCAUGUUACCAACAUUAAUUGAUAAUUAUAGUUCUUUAAUAUUUUUCGAGUGAAUGACAUUUUAAACAUUAUCUCGACAAGACUAGGCCACGAUGACUAUUCACAAAAACAAAUCCGACCAAGGAACAUCUUUCGAAUUAGGGUUAAAAGUGUAAGUAGCUUUGUAUGUGCCCUUUCUUAUUGGUUUGAAUACUUUAACACAAGACCAUAAUCAAAGGGUCAAUGGGUAUUCACGUCAUUAACUCUAUAUUGAUGAAACAUUUUCCUUGACGGGAAAUGAAUGAAGUGGCUGAAAGGAGCGUUAAAGAUUGAUCUCCAUGUAAAUAUUUUCCUUCCUUUUAUUAUUAUUAUAAUUAUAUUAUUAUUAUUUUAUUUGUGAUUUUUUUUAUUACUCUUAAUGUUCACACUUUUCAAAUUACCUCACUUUUGCUAUGUAUUAGUUUUUUUGAGAGAAAAAAUUUCAAAUAAUUAUUGUCAAAUUGAUAUUGAUGACAUGAUAAAUAAAAUAAACAUUUUAGGAUAUAAUUAGAGAACUCAUUAAAAAUGCACAUAUUUCAAAUUACUUUUAAAUAAUAUUGAUUUAAAAUUUUUGAGAUUUUUUUUUUCAUAUAUUUUCAUAUUAAUGAAUCAAAACCCACUUUUCUCAUUUUUUUUAUGUACAAAAUAAUUAUUUAGCCAACUUUAAAUUUCCCCAAUAUUAUCUCAUAUUUAUUUAAGAUUCCAAGCCUAAAUUAAAAUCACUAUUGAAGAUUUUGGAAUAUUAAAGUUAAAAACAAUUGUUUUAAUGUGAAACAUUCUACUAAAAUGCUUGGCUGGGUGUUUGCAAAAGGAGAAUCAAGGGGUGAAUUAAGAAUUGCACUUACGUCAUCAAAUGAAUAAAAUUUCAAUUUAAUUUGUACCAAAUUUCGUAUACAUUUCUCCAACUAGAGUGAUCUUACUAAAAUUCGUGUCCUUCAAUAAGAUUUUAUUAAUCUUUCCCUCAAAAUUUCCGAAACCAAACUUACACUUAAGUUUAUAAAAAUUUCUAUUCAAUUUGAUACACACGUCAACAUUAUUCGAACUUGGGCCUCAUUUUCCUUUUUGGUCUGAAGUCUUAAUAGGCUUCAAAUGUUCAUAUACCAUUUGCUUUUUUGAAUUUAUUUAUUUAUUUUUACUUCUUUUUUUUUUUAAAUUUCUAGGCACUUAUAGUAAAAUAAGAAUUCAUUUAUAGUAAAACAAUAAAAGAAUCAAUGAAAAUUUUGAAUUCAAUGUAAUGUUUGGAAACUAUUCUUAAAAGUAAUUUUAUAUUAUUUAUAAUAAAAAAUUAAUUUUAAAAACUGUUUGAUAAUUUUUAUUUUUUGAAAAUUUAUUGUAAAAUAUGUUGUUUUUAAAAAUAAAUUUGAGGUGUCUUAAGUAUAUUUUUAGAAUAUUGAGAAAUAAUUAAAAAAAUAGAGAAUCCUUUCAAAACUUUUACAUUUGUAAAUAAAUGUAUAAUAAUUUCCUAGAACAAUAAGAUUGAGAAUUUUUUUUUUAUAUAUUUUAUGUUUAAAUAAAAUUUUAUGUUAAAAAUAAUUGAAAAAUAUUUUUAUAAAAUAUUUUUAACAACCAUUUAAAAAUUUUAUUUUUCGAAAAUGUUUUUCAAAAACAUUAACAAAUAGCCUUUGAACCCAAAAGCAAAAAGGUCUGCAAAUAUUACAUUAAAAACAAAAGAUAAUUGGGUAAUUUGAAAAUUUAACCCUUCAACUAUUUUUUAUCUUAUUUUGAUAAAAAUAUUCUCAUUUUUUCUUUAUAAAUGUAAGUAUUUUUUUAAAAUAUAUAUGUAAUCAGAGACAUACAUAUAUAAAAUGAGUUAUUUUUCAAACAAAAAUAUGAAAGGGUUAAAUAAAAAAAUAAUAGAUUGGAAGUUUAAAAAUCCACCCAAAAGCGGGGCCAAGCUCGUGUCACCUGAAGGCCCACAUUCGACCUUUUGGCCCAAAUUCAAAUCCCCCCAAACUGCCUAAACCAAUUCAAGCGUCUCUCUUACAGAAAUCAGCAGGGACGUCAGACAUGGAGGUGGUUAUGGAAGAAAGCCAAUUAGGGUUUCCGUACUGGAGCUCAGUUCGACGGAGAUUCGGCCCAGAAUCUCCUUUCUUUACUUCCGGAAACAUUGAGAGAGAACUUCUCGCCAAACAGGUCCCUUUUCUUUUAUUUUCCUUUUCUUUCUGGUUAUUUUCGACUGUCUGUGACCUUUUAACUUUCUAUUUUUAGUGUAAGUUUUGUAGAAUGUGAAACUUAUUUCUGAUUCUGGUGUUUUGCACCUUGUAUUAUAACCUUUCGACUGAUAAGAUUAUGCGAGUAUUCGUGUGACUGUUUAUACGUUUUUAUGGUACUCGGAUUGCUUAGUUAAGUUUCAAUUAGGUUUUAAAUUUUCUAUUUCAGAAUGGACAUUUGAAUUUCUCAUAGAGCUCUUAAAUUGGCCUGAAAUACCUCUUUUAUCUAGAGCUUUACUAGAUUCCAAUGUUUUUCAUGGUGUAUUUUAUAUGGAGGUGAAAUUGGAUUUCCAUUCUCCGAAUUUUAUUUUUUCCAAUUUUUUCUAAUAAUUUCUUGCAGUAGUUUGCCUUUAUUGUGAUUAUUGUAGAGAGCAUGCGUAUUAUUUUUUAAUUUUUUAUUUUUCUUCAUGAUUUCCUUUUAUGCUAUUCUGGAAAAUUUUGCAUGAUGAUGCUGAGAAAAGAAUGCUUGAUUAAUUUUUUGUUCUAAUUUUUCCUAGGUUGCAUUGGACUUAACUGAAGAUGAAAAGCAACAUCUUCAGAAUUUGGAAGAUGAAGAAGGCAGGUAUUAAUAGAUGUUAUCUUCACUUUUGGCUUAUUCUGUAAUUUACUAUAAGUACUGUUUGUGAAAUUCUUCUUUCACUGUUAGAAGUACCUUGAACCGUCUAUUAAUGGUUGUGUCAGAAAGGGUGUCAUAAACUUUCCUUAUGUUUGGUUCUUGGAAAGUAAUAAGGAAAGGAAAGGAAAAAAUGCUAGUGAAAAUGGUUUUCUCAUGUUUGGGUACCAUGAGAAAAGAUCAAGGAAAAAAAAAACCAAAGAAAAGGGUUGGGGUGGUGGUGGUGUGCAUUUUCCUUAACAAAAAGUGAGGAAAGUUAGUGGAAAUUGCAUUCUUUAGCAAUUUAAUUUUCUUUCCCUCAACUUUUCAAUGGGCAAUCAAAUAAAAGAAAACUUUUAUAAUUUUUUCUUAUAUUUCUCUGCUCUAUUUUUUUCAUUAAAACUUUCCAGAAACAAAACAUGGCCUUAGCUUAUAUGGUUAGAAGUCAAAUUUAGCUGUAACAGUUAUGAUAUUGAGAAGCUACAGACUGCUGAUCUCGUGUGGUGGUUCCAAACAUUUAUUCAUGUUAUGGAUUUGUUAAAGGUUGUGUUAAAAAAUAUUUCAUGCUUCAUAGGUGUUCUAUCCUGUUUGUAUUUCUGGAAUCUAGCCACCUUUCAUAAAAUUCAUUUUCAUGUUAGUGAAAGAUAUUUCUUGUGCUUGUAUAUCUAUUAUUCCAUCCAUUGUUAGACAAAAGUGUAUGACAUACAGUAUUCUGGUACUGUAUUAAUGGAAUACUAUAAUCAAAAUACCAACACUAGUUUGUUUAAGUAUCUAACUCUUCUAUCAUGCUUCAAUAUUUUUUUCUCCCUUUUAACAUCAUUGCCUUUAUUUCUUCUGGUCUCCUGUAUCCCCUUGACAUUUAUGCUAUUUUGGGAUAAAUUGAAUGGUGGAAAGUGGUAUAGGACUUGUUAGAAUGUACCAAGAUAUUUGUGGAGACCUGAGCUCUCAAAACUUUCCUGAGGUUAGAAGGGAGUAAAGAGUUUAGAAUCUUUCAAGUUUAAGCUUGAUCCCUGAUGAUCAUUAGGCUAAUGAAAGAGAGGAACUCUGUUAAUGGAAUUUAAAUUACUCAAUCUUAUCCCUGGAGGUGUCUUCCAAAAAGUCUCAUGAGCAACAAACUGUGGCUGCUCAAGAUGUAGACAGGUGGGCUUAUCAAGCAGCAUGCCUCCUCUUCAAUGUUCUUAAUCGCUUAAGUCAUGUGAACUAAUAACCCCAAUAUUUGUAUAUGCAGUGUCACUAUAUUGUGUCAACAAUUCUUAAAUUCGCCAAAAAAAUAAAAAUAAAUUCAAAUAUCUAUCUUUGGGUAAUUUUGCAUUAUUAAUAAUAGGUCACUGGCCCUUUUCCUAUUGGGUAAUGAAGUCUCUAAGUAAAAAUUGGGGACGUUACAGAUGCUACCCUGUUGUUUGCAACAUAGCCCCCCACCUCUCCCCCUCUCCCUCCCCCUCCACUCUUUUUUUUCCUUUCUUUUUCUUAUGAUACAAUCAAUAUAUGCCAUUUGAGGAUUUUCUGUAAUUUUUAAGAGGGUUCAGGGUGUUGUAUAAAGGGGCCUUCAUAAAUUGACUAAGCAGUCUGUAUUUGCCAGACAUCAGCAUUGUAGUUAAAUGUGAUCUCUAUUACUGGGGUGGGAACAAAGACAUUCAUAUUUUACCUACUGCCCUUGACAUUACAAUGUGAGUGGCGUUUUAGUUCGGCAGGGACUUCAUCUGGUUAGAACAUCUAUUUUGAUUGUGAAUCUUUUAUAACAUUCUCUCUCAAACUUGUUGCAUGUAUAAAAAGUGAGGAUCUACAUAAGAUGGGACCUGAGGCCAUAUAGCUUUUAAUAUGGAUGCCCCA